GAUUACACGGAGUUAGGUUUGUUGUUUGUACAUUCUUUUGUAAUCUGUGUUUGACAUUUCUCUUCACAAAUAGAAAUUAUUGUUAAGAUCAUAAAUGAAAACACCUUUUAUUAUACAAUUAAGAUUACAUUUAACAGUUUAGUGAGAAAUUUUUAUUUAGUCAACUUUCACUUAUAUAUUAUACGAUCUAUUCUAAUAAAAACAUUUUAGUUGUAAUAGAAACAAUCAUUUUAACUGAGUGAACUUUUUUUGACAUUCCAAACGUCGUCUUUUUUCUCGAUCUCUAAAAAUUACAGUUAAUUAUACUUUUCCGUUAUUUAAACCAUAAUUUUGCAAUUCACAGUUUUCUUACCGAUGCGCAGAAUUCAUUUUCUCUUAAAGUCAAAUCAAUACUAACCCGUGUGAACAGAAAUAACCUCUAGAAAGGAAGACAACUAUUAAACCUAUUACAGUAAGAACGUUUGAUCGAGCUGUUGCAUUCAGAAAUUUAACCGGAAGAAGAAAGAAUAUUGAUAACAAUGCCUGAUCCGUGCCAAGGUUGUGACAAAAAUAAAAAAAAAGAUUGCUGUCAGACUUCAUGUAAUUGUACCUCGGAUUGCAAAUGUGGUAAAGAUUGUCCAUGUGAAAAAGGUGGCUCCAAAUCAAACGAAAAGAAAUAACUGGUUAUUCAUUAAACACUUCACAAAUGUAACUUUAACUUAAAUAAAGAGCGAACUCAAAAGUA
Diorhabda sublineata is the source of this 724-nucleotide long non-coding RNA. RefSeq lists it as uncharacterized. The record is from RefSeq and is a predicted model, not a curated record. The transcript is spliced from 3 exons. NCBI's taxonomy places the organism in Eukaryota, Metazoa, Arthropoda, Insecta, Coleoptera, Chrysomelidae.